RNAcentral lists this ribosomal RNA (253 nucleotides) under Escherichia coli. RNAcentral describes it as "partial 23S ribosomal RNA". It matches the Rfam family "Bacterial large subunit ribosomal RNA", at positions 2696 to 2925 of the family's 2925-position model. The record is from RNAcentral. Lineage: Bacteria; Pseudomonadati; Pseudomonadota; Gammaproteobacteria; Enterobacterales; Enterobacteriaceae.
AGUGGACGCAUCACUGGUGUUCGGGUUGUCAUGCCAAUGGCACUGCCCGGUAGCUAAAUGCGGAAGAGAUAAGUGCUGAAAGCAUCUAAGCACGAAACUUGCCCCGAGAUGAGUUCUCCCUGACUCCCUGAGAGUCCUCAAGGAACGUUGAAGACGACGACGUUGAUAGGCCGGGUGUGUAAGCGCAGCGAUGCGUUGAGCUAACCGGUACUAAUGAACCGUGAGGCUUAACCUUACAACGCCGAAGGUGUUU